UUAGGAGAGGUGCUAGGUUACCCCGAACUACUUAGGGAAGCUGCUAGCAUAACUCUAAGCUGCUAAUAACUGAAUCAUAGAAAACUCAAAUAAAGAAACGGACAUAUCCAGAAAUAAAGUAGACAGUGUGAUUAGCAAGUUGGAAACGAGUUAUUUUUGGGAGGUGUUUAGGGUUUCCCGACGUGCUUGCUUCAGGUACUUGUUAAAAUUUGACAUGCUUACUUAAGUGAAAAGGACUUUUAAAGGCUAAAAGCAUAAUUAAGUAGGUCAAUAUAUGAAUAUUGAAAGUUUUAAAACUAAAUUGAAAUAUGUUAGAGUUUAAUAGGUUAAAAUGUGAAUAUGAAAAGUUUAAAAACAAAAUUCAGUUUAGUCCUUCAUAUUUUCCACCUCCUUACCUAAACCCUCCAUGUGUCACCUAGCUAUGCAUGAUUAAAGUGUUUAAUAGGUUAAAGUGUGAAUAUGGAAAGUUUAAAAACAAAAUUCAGUUUAGUCCUUCAUAUUUUCCACCUCCUUACCUAAACCCUCCAUGUGUCACCUAGCUAUGCAUGAAAGAAACAACAAAGCAAAUGAAAGACGAGUUAUCUUCUUCAACCCACCUUAUUGUCGUAGCUUACACCUUUGAAAAACCAAAAUCUUGUUUUGUCUUUCUUCCACCAAAUUCAAGCCAAAAUCUCACCAAAUCAACUUCUUUCUUUAACCAAAAUUCACCCUAAGAUCAAGAACUAAAGAAAGAGCCAUAUAUUGAAGAAAUUGAAGAAGAAAAGUUUAGAGUUCUAUAUACACCAAGCUUGAAAAUCAAAGGUGAGCUUAGAAAUGUGUAGGAGAUAGGAUUUUCUUAUUUCUUCAUGCAUGAAUUAGAAUUAUAAAGUUUUAAUUUUUAAUUUAUUUAAUCCUUCCCUAAGAUAUAAAUUUACUUAGGUGAAGGAACAUCAAAGGGAAAAGAGAUAGCUAGAGAGUAGAAGUGGAAAAGAAAGAGAAAUUCAAAAAAGGUUUGGUGUUUGUAUAAUUUUCUGUUUUCCUUUGAUUUUAUCAUGAAUAUGUGAAAUUAGGGGUUGAUUUUACUUGCCGAAAAUGUUGCUUUGAUUGUAUAAAUAUGUUAUAUGAAUGUUAAAAUGGUGUUUGAAAGGUUUAAAGUAAAGAAAUUUAACAUAAGAGCUAAAAGUGCAAACCUGGCAGGAUAAGUUUUAACAAGGCAGCAUGUGCUAACAACUUCGUAACUUACUGUGUAGUUAUUGAAAUUAGGCCUAAAAUAUACCAAAUGAAAGCUGAGACAAAGAGUUAAAACUUUCAUGAAUUAAGCAAAUUCUGAAUCUGUAGGUAAAAUGAUGUAAAUUGCAAGUGAACCUAAACUGGACACAAUGAUAGAGCAUUCGGAACAGAGUGUAUUGAUUAUACCAUAACUAAUUAUGUACUCAAUGAAAUUAGUUAAGACCAGUGCCAAAUGAAUCUUAAGAACUAUACCUAAAACUUUGUAGAAGACACUUAAACUUGAAUUUCUAUGAAAAUGCAUGAAUCUG
This 1517-nucleotide long non-coding RNA is filed under the name Manihot esculenta (cassava). RNAcentral's name for it is "long non-coding RNA (MESC_LNC005310)". Lineage: Eukaryota; Viridiplantae; Streptophyta; Magnoliopsida; Malpighiales; Euphorbiaceae. The record is from RNAcentral.